Molecule: ribosomal RNA, 293 nt
Filed under: uncultured microorganism
Description: partial 16S ribosomal RNA
Rfam family: Bacterial small subunit ribosomal RNA
Source: RNAcentral
GUGCCAGCAGCCGCGGUAAUACGUAGGUGGCAAGCGUUAUCCGGAAUUAUUGGGCGUAAAGCGCGCGUAGGCGGUUUUUUAAGUCUGAUGUGAAAGCCCACGGCUCAACCGUGGAGGGUCAUUGGAAACUGGAAAACUUGAGUGCAGAAGAGGAAAGUGGAAUUUCAUGUGUAGCGGUGAAAUGCGCAGAGAUAUGGAAGAACACCCGUGGCGAAAGCCACUUUUCUGGUCUGUAACUGACGCUGAUGUGCGAAAGCGUGGGGAUCAAACAGGAUUAAAUACCCUGGUUAUCC